Molecule: unclassified non-coding RNA, 297 nt
Filed under: uncultured Chaetomiaceae
Lineage: Eukaryota; Fungi; Ascomycota; Sordariomycetes; Sordariales
Description: partial contains 5.8S ribosomal RNA, internal transcribed spacer 2, and large subunit ribosomal RNA
Rfam family: 5.8S ribosomal RNA (bases 1-102)
Source: RNAcentral
AUGCGAUAAGUAAUGUGAAUUGCAGAAUUCAGUGAAUCAUCGAAUCUUUGAACGCACAUUGCGCCCGCCAGUAUUCUGGCGGGCAUGCCUGUUCGAGCGUCAUUUCAACCAUCAAGCCCCCGGCUUGUGUUGGGGACCUGCGGCUGCCGCAGGCCCUGAAAACCAGUGGCGGGCUCGCUAGUCACUCCGAGCGUAGUAAUACAUCUCGCUCAGGGCGUGCUGCGGGUUCCGGCCGUUAAAAAGCCUUAUUUACCCAAGGUUGACCUCGGAUCAGGUAGGAAGACCCGCUGAACUUAA